CCCCUAGUAACUGCGAGUGAAGCGGGAAAAGCUCAAAUUUGAAAUCUGGCGGCCCCGCCGUCCGAGUUGUAAUCUGGAGAAGCGUCUUCCGCGCCGGACCGUGUACAAGUCCCUUGGAACAGGGCGUCGUAGAGGGUGAGAAUCCCGUCUUUGACACGGACCCCCGGUGCUAUGCGAUGCGCUCUCGAAGAGUCGAGUUGUUUGGGAAUGCAGCUCAAAAUGGGUGGUAAAUUCCAUCUAAAGCUAAAUAUUGGCGAGAGACCGAUAGCGAACAAGUACCGUGAGGGAAAGAUGAAAAGCACUUUGGAAAGAGAGUAAAACAGUACGUGAAAUUGUUGAAAGGGAAACGCUUGAAGUCAGUCGCGUCCGCCGGAACUCAGCCUUGCUUCUGCUCGGCGCACUUUCCGGCUCGGACGGGCCAGCAUCGGUUUCGAGCGGCGGACACUGGCGAGGGGAAGGUGGCAGCUCCGGCUGUGUUAUAGCCCCCCGUCGCAAACGCCGCCCGGGACCGAGGAAUCCGGCGCGAGCCUGGGAUGCUGGCGUAAUGGCUUUAAACGACCCGUCUUGAAACACGGACCAAGGAGUGCUACGUGCUCGCGAGUGUUUGGGUGGAAAACCCAGACGCGCAAUGAAAGUGAAAGUCGAUACCCUCCGGGGGCACCGACGCCCGAGCCCGAUGUUUUCGGAGGGCCUUGCGGUAGAGCGAGUGCGUUGCGACCCGAAAGAUGGUGAACUAUUCCUGAGGAGGGCGAAGCCAGAGGAAACUCUGGUGGAGGCUCGUAGCGGUUCUGACGUGCAAAUCGAUCGCAGGACUUGGG
Molecule: ribosomal RNA, 818 nt
Filed under: Trechispora sp.
Lineage: Eukaryota; Fungi; Basidiomycota; Agaricomycetes; Trechisporales; Hydnodontaceae
Description: partial large subunit ribosomal RNA
Rfam family: Eukaryotic large subunit ribosomal RNA
Source: RNAcentral